CGCAGGUACUGCGCGUACCGGUGUGCAGCCGGUAGGACGCCGGCAGGGGCAGCGGGGGUAGCUGGAUGUUCCUGUGGGUACGGGACCAACUUGGGAUCGACGGGAGGUCUAGGGGGAGAGAAACGGGGAGAGGGUGUGCGGGCUGGAGCAGCCGCGACGGCAGCGGUAUGGCGGCGGCAUCCGCGCCGGUGAUCGGAGGGUCGUGGUAGCCUCUUACGGGUCCUCGAGGUGGUCGUACGGGACGAAGGGGAUGCGCCUAGUUGAGCUCGAGCCUCGUUGGUGGAGCUGGCCUAGCUGCGGAAGAAGAAGGAGCCAGCAGCGGCGACGAGAAGUAGCUAGGCAGCGGAGACGUCGAGGAUUCGGUGGUUGCCCGGAGGCACACGGAGGCGCUGAUGCUCCGACUACGACGACGACCAUGGGGCUAGCUGAUGCCACAACUGCGGGGGAGGAAGAACA
RNAcentral lists this ribosomal RNA (456 nucleotides) under Triticum aestivum (bread wheat). RNAcentral's name for it is "partial small subunit ribosomal RNA". Lineage: Eukaryota; Viridiplantae; Streptophyta; Magnoliopsida; Poales; Poaceae. The record is from RNAcentral.